UACAAAAUAUUUAAUUGAUUCUCUUAAUAGUUGAUUAUUUCUAUGGUAUAGCUAACAAUAAUUAUUUUAAAAGUUACAAUAUUACCAAACUAGCCCAAAGUCCUAGUAUCAACUCGAUUUAAACACAAUAACCCAUGAAGGACUACCUAAUAUUUCAGUUUUAUGACAAUAAACAUGUUUUAAUGAACCAAUUAUUUAUGUUUCUAUGUAAUAUAGAUGCUCUGCAAUUCCUUUUUUGUUUUUCAUGUUAUAAUAAUAUGGAAGCAACUAACUUAAUGAACCAAUUCGUUUAAUGAACCAAUUAUUUAUGUUACUAUGUAAUAUAUAUGCUCUGCAAUUCGUGUUUUUUUUUUCAUGUAUAAUAAUGUGGAAACAACAAACUUUAUUAACGCAGCUGGCAAUACGUGAGAACUAUGAAACUGAGGGGGUAAAGAAUAAAAUUUACCUAGAUAAAGGUCAUUUUUAAAGUUUGGCGUCCUAGACCUCCCAUAAUUCCGCUCCUCCGUACACGUAUUGCUCAUGAAGAUAUUAAUUAUCAGCCACAAUUUGUAUUAUUCUUGUGGAUUGGAGAUAAGAAUUAUUCUUGUCAAUUACAUGGUACAUAUUCAUAUUCAUUUUGGGUUUUACCCCAAAACGGGACAUGCUCAGUUGAUAGACAUCCCAAGUCUUAUAAAAUCUGAGGUAAAUAAUAUUUGUGUUUUUGCUGGUCAUUCAAUAUGUUAAACACAUGUACUUUCUCUUUUUGCUUGUUUGUCUAGUGAAGUCUUACAAAACUAAAUUAACUAUUUUAUCCUAUGGCUUUAUAUUUCAAUUCUUAUAAUUUUUGUUACCCCAUGGCUUUAGUUUAAAUAUUUGUCGAGGUCUUCCCCAUAGCUGCCAUUGCCCAAUCUCGAAAGGAGAAGAUGAAGAAGGUAGAAAACUAAGGAAAGUGGAUUAGGAGGACAAAAAAGUAAUAAUAAUAGUGAAUGCAUAUUUUCCCCCGUUCCACGUUCCGGUGAAAAUGGAUAAAAUGCCCUCUACGUGGAUUUGGACUAGUACCUUCAAUGUAGCGAUACGCAUCUUUAAUAGCUGCAAAUUCAGGAAUUUUUGCUUUUUAUAUACGUCGGCCAUGAACUCGAGGAUUUGAUAGUGGUAAUUAAAAAGGUUACAAGCAGAGCAUAAAUAGGAAUAACGCUCUUCGUUUAUAAUAAUACAACGAAGAUAGAGCUAUAAAUUCAUUUUAAAUUUAUUAUAUAUAAACUGAAUUAAAUAACUCUUGAUUUUUGCAGUUAUCGGCUUGAUUAAAUUACAGGGGUGCAUGAAACGACUUUGAAAUUUUUGAGCCAUUUCAGCCCAAAACGACCCUCAGGCCAGUCAACAAAAGCAGUCAAAUACAGUGGGAUUCGGAGUUGUUCCAUACCAGUGGCUCCAAACAACCUAAAAAAAUUUCUGCAGAUGGGGACCGUUCCUGAUAAAUCAUAAAUCCAUGAAAUGAAAUCAGAUUGAGCAAUUAAGAGUGCAUUUGGGAUUAAUGUUGGAUAGGUAUAACUUAAAAGUUAUAGCACUAAGGUGUUUGGUAAAUACUAAUUGCUGUAAUUUGAAACCUAUGUUAAUAUGGUUUUUCACUUAUAUCAUGAAAAAUCUAUUAUAUCUUUA
Molecule: long non-coding RNA, 1635 nt
Filed under: Citrus x clementina
Lineage: Eukaryota; Viridiplantae; Streptophyta; Magnoliopsida; Sapindales; Rutaceae
Description: Citrus clementina (C. clementina) long non-coding RNA (CCLE_LNC005565)
Source: RNAcentral